CCUACGGGUGGCAGCAGUGGGGAAUAUUGGGCAAUGGGCGCAAGCCUGACCCAGCAACGCCGCGUGAAGGAAGAAGGCUUUCGGGUUGUAAACUUCUUUUCUCAGGGACGAAGCAAGUGACGGUACCUGAGGAAUAAGCCACGGCUAACUACGUGCCAGCAGCCGCGGUAAUACGGAGGUGGCAAGCGUUAUCCGGAUUUACUGGGUGUAAAGGGCGUGUAGGCGGGAAAGCAAGUCAGAUGUGAAAACCAUGGGCUCAACCUGUGGCCUGCAUUUGAAACUGUUUUUCUUGAGUGCUGGAGAGGCAGACGGAAUUCCUAGUGUAGCGGUGAAAUGCGUAGAUAUUAGGAGGAACACCAGUGGCGAAGGCGGUCUGCUGGACAGCAACUGACGCUGAGGCGCGAAAGCGUGGGGAGCAAACAGGAUUAGAUACCCUGGUAGUC
Molecule: ribosomal RNA, 443 nt
Filed under: uncultured bacterium
Lineage: Bacteria
Description: partial 16S ribosomal RNA
Rfam family: Bacterial small subunit ribosomal RNA
Source: RNAcentral